UGUCUCCAUAUCAACCAAGGUGCGAACACGCACGCGCCAAACCGAAAAAGUUCGACUAGAUGUUGUAACUUGUAAUUCCCAACCUCCGACUAGGGAAAGCCAGAUCCUGCAAUCGACUUGCCUUGAUAACACCUAAGAAGGCCAUGUCAUGUCACUGAGAUCAGUACAGAAUGUUUAUCUGCUUACAGAGACACAAACCUGUUCUUCUGUUCAAGGUUCGUCUGCACAUCUUCCAAGACCCUAAAACAAAGCCUGUUUGAACUGCCUAAAACUGCUUCUUAUCGGUACAAAGAAGUGUGUCAUGGUCUGCUUUUCAUAUAUAUAGUAGUGGUUUAGUACAAGUGCUUCAGAGCGCUCUCAUUAUUCUAUCCUGCUUUAUUCUAUCCUGUAUUAACCAUCUUUCUGUAAUAAACCUUUUUACCUUAA
This is a long non-coding RNA of Ictalurus furcatus (blue catfish), 426 nucleotides long. RefSeq lists it as uncharacterized. NCBI's taxonomy places the organism in Eukaryota, Metazoa, Chordata, Actinopteri, Siluriformes, Ictaluridae. The transcript is spliced from 2 exons. The record is from RefSeq and is a predicted model, not a curated record.